AAUUUCACACCUGGAUGUGCUCACUCAACCACGAAUAUAGGGAAAGCGCUUCUGCCCUGAGCCGCAGAAAAAUACCCCGCACCGCUCGGGCUCGGCGUA
Gallus gallus (chicken) is the source of this 99-nucleotide non-coding RNA. NCBI's taxonomy places the organism in Eukaryota, Metazoa, Chordata, Aves, Galliformes, Phasianidae. The record is from Rfam.